This 455-nucleotide long non-coding RNA is filed under the name Lactuca sativa (garden lettuce). RNAcentral's name for it is "long non-coding RNA (LSAT_LNC002094)". Lineage: Eukaryota; Viridiplantae; Streptophyta; Magnoliopsida; Asterales; Asteraceae. The record is from RNAcentral.
CGGAUUUCGGCAUUUCCUACCCAGUUUUCAAUAUUUUUAACAUUUUAAGCCCGUUUUUCAUCCUUUUAACGCGGGAUUUUCUCUAGAAAUCAUAUUAUAACAUAUAAGACCCUAAAUAUUUAUAAUAUAAACAUAUUUUGAUGGAAAUAUUUAUUUAAGAAUAAAAUCUAUUAAGUGAGAUCAUGAGGUGGAGUGUGGAUCUUGCCAUAAUAUUUGACACAAACAACAACCCCAUGCCCAUUACUUUGACCAGCUAUGGUCCUCCCCACCACUCCUAGUCACUUCAUGGUCCUUUUCCACUCAUUUUUCCAGCAAACUCUUACCCAAAGAGCUAGAUUUGAUGGAAAUAUUUAUUUAAGAAUAAAAUCUAUUAAGUGAGAUCAUGAGGUGGAGUGUGGAUCUUGCCAUAAUAUUUGACACAAACAACAACCCCAUGCCCAUUACUUUGACCAGCU